Molecule: ribosomal RNA, 1396 nt
Filed under: Dysgonamonadaceae bacterium
Lineage: Bacteria; Pseudomonadati; Bacteroidota; Bacteroidia; Bacteroidales; Dysgonomonadaceae
Description: bacterial LSU rRNA
Rfam family: Bacterial large subunit ribosomal RNA
Source: RNAcentral
AAAGAAAGUGAAUAAGGGCACAUGGAGGAUGCCUAGGCUCUGGGAGGCGAAGAAGGACGUGAUAAGCUGCGAAAAGCUGCGGGGAUUGGCAAAUACGAAACGAUCCGCAGAUAUCCGAAUGGGGCAACCCGUUAUGAGAAGAUCAUAACAUCCCGCGAAGCGGGAGGCAAACGUGGGGAACUGAAACAUCUAAGUACCCAUAGGAGAAGAAAACAAAAGUGAUUCCGCAAGUAGUGGCGAGCGAACGCGGAGAAGCCCAAACCGUCGAUGUUUCGGCAACGGCGGGGUUGAAGGACUGAAACAAAGGCAAGAAAGCUGAGAAGUGGAACGAUUUGGAAAAAUCGAUCGAAGAGGGUGACAAUCCCGUACACGAAUCGAAGCGGAAGCCGAUCAGUAUCCUGAGUAGCGCGGGACACGAGAAAUCCUGUGUGAAGCAGGCGGGACCAUCCGCCAAGGCUAAAUACUCCCCAGAGACCGAUAGUGGACCAGUACCGUGAGGGAAAGGUGAAAAGAACCUCGAACAGAGGAGUGAAAUAGACCCUGAAACCAUGUGCUUGCAAGCGGUCGGAGCUCCGAUUCGUCGGAGUGACGGCGUGCCUUUUGCAUAAUGAACCUACGAGUUACUCUUGUUGGCAAGGUUAAUCGUCAAGAGGCGAUGGAGCCGGAGCGAAAGCGAGUCUGAACAGGGCGGAAAGUCAGCAGGAGUAGACGCGAAACCAAGUGAUCUACCCUUGAGCAGGCUGAAGGUUGGGUAACACCAACUGGAGGGCCGAAUCGGUGAACGUUGAAAAGUUUUCGAAUGACUUGAGGGUAGGGGUGAAAGGCUAAUCAAACUUGGAGAUAGCUCGUACUCCCCGAAAUGCAUUUAGGUGCAGCCUCGGGCUACGAACUUACAUGAGGUAGAGCUACUGAUUGGAUGCGAGGGCUUCGCCGCCUAUCAAGUCCAGACAAACUCCGAAUGCGUGUAAGUGAUACCCGGGAGUGAGGGCGCGGGUGCUAAGGUCCGUGUCCGAAAGAGGAACAACUCAGACCAUCAGCUAAGGUCCCGAAAUAUAUGCUAAGUUGCAUUAAACGAAGUUUUGCUACCGAAACAGCUAGGAUGUUGGCUUGGAAGCAGCCAUUCAUUUAAAGAGUGCGUAACAGCUCACUAGUCGAGUGGCAAAGCAUGGAUAAUAAUCGGGCAUAAGCAUAUUACCGAAGCUAUGGAUCCGUACAAUACGGGUGGUAGGGGAGCAUUCCUGUCGGCAGAGAAGGCGUAUCGUAAGAUAUUCUGGAGCGUCAGGAAAAGCAAAUGUAGGUAUAAGUAACGAUAAAGGGGGCGAGAAACCCCCUCGCCGAAAGACUCAGGAUUCCUGAUCAACGUUAAUCGGAUCAGGGUUAGUCGGGGCCUAAGGAU